This 216-nucleotide ribosomal RNA is filed under the name Glomeromycotina sp. RNAcentral's name for it is "partial small subunit ribosomal RNA". The stretch from base 40 to 216 matches the Rfam family "Eukaryotic small subunit ribosomal RNA", at positions 686 to 864 of the family's 1831-position model. Lineage: Eukaryota; Fungi; Glomeromycota. The record is from RNAcentral.
GGGUCAGUAGGUUGGUCGUGCCACCGGUACGUACUGGUCUCACUGAUUCCUCCUUCCUGAAGAACCGUAAUGCCAUUAAUUUGGUGUUGCGGGGAAACAGGACUGUUACUUUGAAAAAAUUAGAGUGUUUAAAGCAAGCUAACGCUUGAAUACAUUAGCAUGGAAUAAUGAGACAGGACGAUCGAUCCUAUUUUGUUGGUUUCUAGGAUUGACGUA